UGGUGUUUUUUGUUUUUUGGUUGACAAGAAACUGACGUACGGUUUUUUCUCUAAUAAGAAAACGAACGAAUCAACUGAAUUAUUGUAAUUGCACGUUCACCCUCGAUAUACUUUUGCCUGGGUGCUUGAUGUGAGUUGUGAGAACCACGGACACAUGUCUGCGACAUACUAAAUGCAACGACUACCCUACCACCCGAGGAAAUUCUGGAUGCAUUUUCAAGUACCAGCGGCAAAAUUUGUCGUCUAAUUCGAGGCCCAGACUCGGUCCAGUGUAGCUCAUACCCUGUUUAUGCUACAAUCUUCAAUAUUAUUCUGAAAUCGGAAACAACGACGGUACCGCAAACACCCGGACCAGAAACAAUAUAGAAAAGUUAGUUUUCUACAUCGACCCGGCCGGGGAUCGAUCUCGAGACUUCAGAGAUGGUGACACCAUGAAAACCGGUAUGCAAACGACUCGACUACGAAGAUCAUCAUACGUGGCAUAGAAUUUUAUUUUAAAGGGUGUGACGUGGCAAAUUCUUAAAAUUUUGUUUCUAUUGUCUUUCCAACAAUGAAUAACAAUGCGAUAUUGUAUAUUGUGUGCAAAAAAAUUACCAAUUUUUUCCUGUUAUUUUUUUAACCGACUUAAAAAUUACGUUACGCGAUUAGUACGAAAUUUAAUAAAUUAAUAAAUAAAUAACGUACAUAUUGAUAGCCCAGCA
Molecule: long non-coding RNA, 701 nt
Organism: Hyposmocoma kahamanoa
Lineage: Eukaryota; Metazoa; Arthropoda; Insecta; Lepidoptera; Cosmopterigidae
Exons: 3
Source: RefSeq, a predicted model, not a curated record